RNAcentral lists this ribosomal RNA (2119 nucleotides) under Patescibacteria group bacterium. Its description in RNAcentral is "partial 23S ribosomal RNA". It matches the Rfam family "Bacterial large subunit ribosomal RNA", at positions 447 to 2523 of the family's 2925-position model. The record is from RNAcentral.
CGGGGACCACCCCGUAAGGCUAAAUACUACCUACCGACCGAUAGUGAACUAGUACCGUGAGGGAAAGGUGAAAAGUACCCCGGGAGGGGAGUGAAAUAGUACCUGAAACCGUGUGCUUACAAACAGUCAGAGGACGUUUAUCGUCUGAUGGCGUGCUUUUUGUAUAACGAACCGGCGAGUUACUGGUAUGCAGCAAGGUUAAGGGAUUACCGGAGCCGUAGCGAAAGCGAGUCUGAAUAGGGCGAAUUUAGUUGUAUGCCGUAGACCCGAAACCGAGUGAGCUACCCAUGGGCAGGGUGAAGCGAGGGUAAGACCUCGUGGAGGCCCGAACCCACUUCGGUUGAAAACGGAGGGGAUGACCUGUGGGUAGGGGUGAAAGGCUAAUCAAACUCGGGAAUAUCUGGUUCUCCCCGAAAUAGCUUUAGGGCUAGCCUCGGGUGUUCAGUUAUGGUGGUAGAGCACUGAAUGAGCUAGGGGCCUUCACCGGUUACCAAUCUCAAUCAAACUCCGAAUGCCAUAACUCUAGAGCCCGGGAGUCAGACUACGGGGGAUAAGCUUCGUGGUCGAAAGGGAAACAGCCCAGACCGUCGGCUAAGGUCCCUAAAUGCAGGCUAAGUGGCAAAGGAUGUGGAGUUGCACAGACAACCAGGAUGUUGGCUUAGAAGCAGCAAUCAUUUAAAGAGUGCGUAACAGCUCACUGGUCAAGUGGUUCUGCGCCGAAAAUGUCCGGGGCUCAAGCCUGCUACCGAAGCCACGGAUCUUCUGGCGAUUUAUCGCCGGGGGAUGGUAGGGGAGCAUUCUCUGUGGAUCGAAGCCGGGACGCGAGUCACGGUGGACCGCAGAGAAGAGAGAAUGCCGGUAUGAGUAGCGAAAGACGGGCGAGAAACCCGUCCGCCGAACACCUACGGUUUCCUGGGGAAGGUUAAUCCGCUCAGGGUUAGUCGGGACCUAAGGCGAGGCCGAGAGGCGUAGUCGAUGGACAACAGGUUUAUAUUCCUGUACCACCAGCACACGCUUGAGCGAAGGGGUGACGGAGAAGGGUAAGUCAACCGCGGCGAUGGUAGACCGCGGACAAGCACGAAGGGGGCCGCGUAGGCAAAUCCGCGCGGUAUUCAAACUCUGAGGUGUGAUGUCGAACCGUUUUUUGGUGAAGUGACCGACCCCAUGCUUCCUAGAAAAGCCUCUAGCGAGUGUCGCUGGUGCCCGUACCAAAACCGACACAGGUAGGUGGGUAGAGAAUACCAAGGCGAUCGAGUUAACCCUCGUUAAGGAACUCGGCAAAUUGAUCCCGUAACUUAGGGAGAAGGGAUGCCCCGGUAGGGUGUAGGAAUCUUCGGACUUCCGAAGCCCGAGGGGGUCGCAGAGAAUAGGCCCAAGCGACUGUUUACUAAAAACACAGGUCUCUGCAAAGUCGUAAGACGACGUAUAGGGGCUGACGCCUGCCCGGUGCUGGAAGGUUAAGGGGAGGGGUUAGCGUUCCGCUUCGGCGGUUCGCGAAGCUCUGAACCAAAGCCCCAGUAAACGGCGGCCGUAACUAUAACGGUCCUAAGGUAGCGAAAUUCCUUGUCAGGUAAGUUCUGACCUGCACGAAUGGCGUAACGACUUGGGCGCUGUCUCAACGAGGGACUCGGCGAAAUUGAACUGCCCGUGAAGAUGCGGGCUACCCGCAACAGGACGGAAAGACCCCGUGAACCUUUACUGCAACCUGAUAUUGGAUCCUGGUACAUUUUGUGCAGGAUAGGUGGGAGACUUUGAAGCGGUGGCGCCAGCCGCCGUGGAGUCAAACUUGGGAUACCACUCUUGAUGUGCUGUGAUCCUAACCGAGAACCGUGAAGCCGGUUCCGGGACAGUGUCUGGUGGGCAGUUUGACUGGGGCGGUCGCCUCCUAAAAUGUAACGGAGGCGCCCAAAGGUUCCCUCAAGCUGGUCGGCAAUCAGCUGAAGAGUGCAAGGGCAUAAGGGAGCUUGACUGCGAGACCUACAAGUCGAGCAGGUACGAAAGUAGGGCCUAGUGAUCCAACGGUUCUGAGUGGAAGGGCCGUUGCUCAACGGAUAAAAGGUACUCCGGGGAUAACAGGCUUAUCUCCCCCAAGAGUCCACAUCGACGGGGAGGUUUGGCA